CCUAGAGUUGUAGGCUUUGCCUGCUACUCUCUUACCCAUGUCUUUUGAGUACCUUCGUUUCCUCGGCGGGUCCGCCCGCCGAUUGGACACAUUUAAACCCAUUUGCAGUUGCAAUCAGCGUCUGAAAAAACUUAAUAGUUA
Molecule: unclassified non-coding RNA, 141 nt
Filed under: soil metagenome
Description: partial internal transcribed spacer 1
Source: RNAcentral